This 440-nucleotide ribosomal RNA is filed under the name uncultured bacterium. RNAcentral describes it as "partial 16S ribosomal RNA". It matches the Rfam family "Bacterial small subunit ribosomal RNA", at positions 338 to 795 of the family's 1533-position model. The record is from RNAcentral.
CCUACGGGUGGCAGCAGUGGGGAAUAUUGCACAAUGGGCGGAAGCCUGAUGCAGCGACGCCGCGUGCGGGAUGAAGGGCCUCUGCGUUUAAAGCUCUGUUAGCAGGGGAGAAAAUGACGGUACGUGAAUAAGAAGCCACGGCUAACUACGUGCCAGCACCCGCGGUAAUACGAAGGUGGCAAGCGUUGUACGGAUUUACUGGGGGUAAAGGGGGUGGAUCCUGGUGGACAAGUAAGAUGGGAAAUGCCGCGGCUCAACCGCGGAACUGCCUUUGAUACUCGUUCACUAGAGUAAAGUAGCGGUAAGCGGAAUGUCUUGUGUAGCGGUGAAAUGCGGAGAUAUAAGGAAGAACACCAGUGGCGAAGGCAGAUGACUGGACGUCAACUGACGGUGAGGCACGAAAGCGUGGGGAGCAAACAGGAUUAGAUACCCGAGUAGUC